This 10679-nucleotide long non-coding RNA is filed under the name Arabidopsis lyrata. Its description in RNAcentral is "long non-coding RNA (ALYR_LNC002442)". Lineage: Eukaryota; Viridiplantae; Streptophyta; Magnoliopsida; Brassicales; Brassicaceae. The record is from RNAcentral.
AAAAUUGAUUUACACUCUUAACCUUUUUUCGUUUUGGUAUAAUGUAAAAACUUAUAUAAGAGAUUUUUUACAAAAACAGAAAUUAAACAAAGAAAAACAUAAAAAUAAAAAUUAUGUAGUAAACAAUAGUACUACAGGAGAGGCCACAAAAGAAGAAAUUAACAAAAGGAGCUGGAACGUUCUGAGUUCUGACAGAAAAAGCCACGAGAAAACCGUCGAUGUUGCCACGAGUGAACCGCGAUUCGAACCCAGCCUUUAACAUAUAAUUAGGAUCGAGUUAGAGAAGGUUAAAGAUGACAAAAAGAGAGUUUGAAAUCAAUUUUUGGACUGAUUAAAAUAGAUAAACAUAAAAAUAAAACAAAGAAAAACAUAAAACUAAAAACUGCAGAAACAACAGUACUGCAGAAGGCCACAAAAGAUGAAAUUAACGACAGGAGCUAGCAUGUUCUGACGAAAGAAGACACGAGAAAACCGUCGAUGUUGCCACAAGUGAACUGCGACCUGAACCUACCUUUUAACAUAUCAUUAGCAUCGAGUUAGAGAAGGUAAAAGAUGACAAAAAGAGAGUUCGAAAUCAAUUUUUGGACUGUUAAAAUAGAUAAACGAAACAAAAAAUUUCACCCAAACUGACAUUAAUUGAAUGGAUCUUUCGAUCUUAAACUUGAAUUACACUCUUAAAUAUUUUGUUUUGGUAAAAUGUAAAAAUUUAUACUAGAUUUCAUAUUUUUUACAAAAAUGGAAAUAAAACAAAGAGAAAAAUAAAACUAAAAACUAUGCAGCAAACAACAGUACUGUAGAAGGCCACAAAAGAUAAAAUUAACGAAAGGAGCUCGAAAUUCCUGAUGGAAGAAGACACGAGAAAACCGUCGACGUUGCCACGAGUGAACUGCGAUCAGAACCCAGCCCUUAACAUAUCAUUAAGAUCGAGUUAGAGAAGGUGAAAGAUGACAAAAAGAGAGUUUGAAAUCAUUUUUUGGAAUGUUUAAAAUAGAUAAACAAAACAAAAAAAGUUCAACUAAACUGAUAUUAAUUGAAUGGAUCUCUCGAUCUUAAAAUUGAAUUACACUCUUCACUUUUUUUUUGUUUUGGUAAAACAUAAAGAAUUUAUACUAGAUUUUAGAUUUUUUACAGACACAAAAGUAAACGAAGAGAAACAUAAAACUAAAAAAAACUAGGCAGCAAACAACAGUACUCGAGAAGACCACAAAAGAUAAAAUUAACCAAAGGAGCUAGAACGUUCUGAGGGAAGAUGACACGAGAAAAUCGUCGAUGUUGCCACGAGUAAACUGCUAUCCUAUCGUAGCCUUUAACAUAUCAUUAGGAUUGAGUUACAGAAGGUAAAAGAUGACAAAAAAGAGUUUGAAAUCAAUGUUUGGACUGUUUAAAAAUCGAUAAACAAAAAAUAAAAGUUCACCCAAACUGAAAUUAAUUGAAUUGAUUUCUCGAUCUUAAAAUUGAAUUACACUCUUAACUUUUUUGUUUUGGUAAAAUAUAAAAAUUUAUACUAGAUUUAAGAUUUUAUACAAAAAACGGAAAUAAAAUAAAGAGAAACACAAAAGCAAAACCAUGCAGCAAACAAUAGUACUGUAGAAGGCCGUAAAGGAUGAAAUUAACGAAAUGAGCUAGAAAGCUCUGACGGAAGAAAACACUAGAAAACCGUUGAUGUUGCCACGAGUUAACCGCGAUCCGAACUUACCCUUUCAAAUAUCAUUAGAAUCGAGUUAGAGAAGGUAAAAGAUGACAAAAAGAGAGUUUGAAAUCAAUUAUUGGACUGUUUAAAUAGAGAAACAAAAUAAAACAUUUCACCCAAACUAAUAUUAAUUGAAUGAGUCUCUCGAUCUUAAAAUUGAAUUACACUGUUAACUUUUUUUUGUUUUGGUAAAAUGUAAAAAUUUAUAAUAGAUUUUUGACUUUUUACAAACGCGGAACUAAAAAAGAGAAACAUAAAUCUAAAAACUAUGCAGCCCUGCAAAAGGCCACAAAAUAUGAAAUGAACGAAAAUAGCUAGAACGUUAUGACAGAAGAAGAGAAGCAAAAACCGUUGAUGUUUUCACGAGUGAACCGCGAUCCGAAGUUAGCCUUUAAAAUAUCAUUAAGAUCGAGUUAGAGAAGGUAAUAGAUGACAAAAAGAGAGUUUGAAAUCUUUUAUUGGACUGUUUAAAAUAAAGAAACAGAGCAAAACAUUUCACGAAACUGAUAUUACCUGAAUGAAUAUCUCGAUCUUAAAAUUGAAUUACAAUCUUAACUUUUUUUUAUUUUGGUAAAAUGUAGAAAAAUUAUAUCAUAGAUGUUUUACAAAACCGGAAAUAAAACAUACAAAAACAUUAUAAAAAAAAACCAGGAAGCAAACAACAGUACUGCAAAAGGCCAGAAAAGAUAAAAUUAACGAAAAUUGCUCGAAAUUCCUGAUGGAAGAUGACACGAGAAAACCUUUGAUGUUGCCACGAGUGAACCGCGAUCAUAACCCAACCCUUAACAUAUCAUUAAGAUCGAGCUAGAGAAGAUAAAAGAUGACAAAAAAAAAAAGAGUUUGAAAUCAAUUUUUGGAAUGUUUAAAAUAGAUAAACAAAACAAAAAAAGUUCAGCUAAACUGAUAUUAAUCGAAUGGAUCUCUCGAUCUUAAAAUUGAAUUACACUCUUAACUUUUUUUUUGUUUUUGGUAAAAUAUAAAAAUUUAUACAAGAUUUUUGAUUUUUUACAAACACGAAAACAAAACGAAGAGAAAUAUAAAACUAAAAAAAAACUAAGCAGCAAAAACCAAUAUUCGAGAAGACCAUGAAAGAUAAAAUUAACCAAAGGAGCAAGAACGUUCUGGCGGAAGAAGACACGAGAAAACCGUCGAUGUUGCCACGAGUAAAUUGCUAUCCUAUCGUAGCUUUUAACAUAUCAUUAGGAUUGAGUUAGAGAAGGUAAAAGAUGACAAAAAGAGAGUUUGAAAUCAAUGUUUGGACUGUUUAAAAUCGAUAAACAAAAAAGAAAAGUUCACCCAAACUAACAUUAAUUGAAUUGAUCUCUCGAUCUUAAAAUUGAAUAACACUUUUAACUUUUUUGUUUUGGUAAAAUAUAAAUAUUUAUACUAGAUUUAAUAUUUUAUACAAAAACAGAAAUAAAAUAAAGAGAAACAUAAAACGAAAACCUAUGCAGCAAACAACAGUACUGUAGAAGGCUGUAAAAGAUGAAAUUAACGAAAGGAGCUAGAAAGCUUUGCCGGAAGAAAACACUAGAAAACCGUUGAUGUUGCCACGAGUGAACCGCGAUCCGAACCUACCCUUUCAAAUAUCAUUAGGAUCCAGUUAGAGAAGGUAAAAGAUGACAAAAGAGAGUUUGAAAUCAAUUUUUGGACUGUUUAAAUAGAGAAACAAAAUAAAACAUUUCACCCAAACUGAUAUUAAUUGAAUGAAUCUCUCGAUCUUAAAAUUGAUUACACUGUUAACUUUUUUAUUGUUUUGGUAAAAUGUAAAAAUUUAUAAUCGAUUUUUGACUUUUUACAAACACGGAAAAAAAAAAGAGAAACAUAAAUCUAAAAACUAUGCAGCCGUGCAGAAGGCCACAAAAUAUGAAAUUAACGAAAAUAGCUAGAACGUUAUGACAAAAGAAGAGAAAAGAAAACCGUUGAUGUUUUCACGAGUGAACCGCGAUCCAAACCUAGCCUUUAAAAUAUCAUUAAGAUCGAGUUAGAGAAGGUAAACGAUGACAAAAAGAGAGUUUGAAAUCUUUUUUUCGACUGUUUAAAAUAGAGAAACAAAACAAAAUAUUUCACCCAAACUGAAAUUAAUUGAAUGGAUAUCUCGAUCUUAAAAUUGAAUUACAAUCAUAUUCUUUUUUUUUUGGUAAAAUAUAAAAAAAUAUAUGAUAGAUUUUUUACAAAAACGGAAAUAAAACAAAGAAAAACAUAAAACUAAAAAAAAACUAGGCAGCAAACAACAGUACUGCAGAAGGCCACAAAAGAUGAAAUUAACGAAAGGAGCUAGAACGUUCUUACGGAAGAAGACACGAGAAAACCGUCGAUGUUGCCACGAGUAAACUGCUAUCCUGUCGUAGCCUUUAACAUAUCAUUAGGGUUGAGUUAGAGAAGGUAACAGAUGACAAAAAUAAAGUUUGACAUCAAUGUUUGGACUGUUAAAAAUAGAUAAACAAAAAGAAAAGUUCACCCAAACUAACAUUAAUUGAAUGGAUCUCUCAAUCUUAAAAUUGAAUUACACUCUUAACUUUUUUGUUUUAGUAAAAUGUAAAAAUUUAUACUAGAUUUAUGAUUUUAUAAAAAAACGGAAAUAAAACAAAGAGAAACGUAAGACCAAAAACUAUGCAGCAAACAACAGUACUGUAGAAGGCCAUAAAAGAUGAAAUUAACGAAAGGAGCUAGAAAGCUUUGACAGAAGAAAACACGAGAAAACCGUUGAUGUUACCACGAGUGAACCGCGAUCUGAAUCUAACCUUUAAAAUAUCAUUAGGAACGAGUUAGAUAAAGUAAAAGAUGACAAGAAGAGAGUUUGAAAUCAAUUUUUGGACUGUUUAAAUAGAGAAACAAGAUAAAACAUUUCACCCAAACUGAUAUUAAUUGAAUGAAUCUCUCGAUCUUAUAAUUGAAUUACACUCUUAACUUUUUUUUGUUUUGGUAAAAUAUAAAAAUUUAUAAUAGAUUUUUGACUUUUUACAAACACGAAAAUAAAAAAUAGAAAGAUAAAUCUAAAAACUAUGCAGCACUGCAGAAGACCACAAAAUAUGAAAUUAACGAAAAUAGCUAGAACGUUAUGACAGAAGAAGAGAAGAGAAAACCGUUUAUGUUGCCACGAGUGAACCGCGAUCCGAACCUAGCCUUUAAAAUAUCAUUAAGAUCGAGUUAGAGAAGGUAAAAGAUGACAAAAACAGAGUUUGAAAUCUUUUUUUGGACUGUUUAAAAUAGAGAAACAAAACAAAACAUUUCACCCAAACUGAUAUUACUUGAAUGGAUAUCUCGAUCUUAAAAUUGAAUUACAAUCUUAACUUUUCUUUUAUUUUGGUAAAUUUAAAAAAUUAUAUCAUAGAUUUUUUACAAAACCGGAAAUAAAACAAAGAAAAAUAUAAAAAAAAAAAAAAAACUAAACGGCAAACAACAGUACUGCAGAAGGCCACAAAAAAUGAAAUUAGCGAAAGGAGCUAGAACGUUAUGAUAGAAGAAGACGCGAGAAAACCGUCGAUAUUACCACGAGUGAACCCAGCCUUUAGCAUAUACAAUUGGUUCGAAAGAUGAAGAAAUGGUUGGGAACCCAGGCUUCUAUCAAUAUUGCUAAAGUCUUGUCUAUCCAGGAGUUAAUGAAUUCCACGCUGAGGCAUUAUUACGAUGAACACGGUGUAGUUGGUCCUUUUAUAGAUAAUGAAGUUGGAAUUUUAAAUGUUUAUGCUCUUGCCCAUCAUUUUAGAGAGAGUGGAACAGUAUACGAAGAAGAUUGUCCUAUCACUGAGGAGCAGGUUUUCCUGGAUGAGAGCACAACGACUGAGGUAAAAUGUUCUCUCUCCUUCAUUUUCUUCUCUCUUUGUUAAAUUAACCUUUAAUUAAUGUUGUUUUCCCUUGAUACAGGGAUGUGAGAGAAUUAUCCCAAGCAUUUGUGACGUUCAUUCUAUCUAUGAUUACGUAGCGGACUAUGGUGGUGAGGAUGGUGUAUCAAUGUUUCAUCAAGAGUUGGAGUAUCAGCUCAGGGAGGGAGGACCACUCAGUAUUCAAUUCGAAGUGUAUCCUUCUUAUUACACCACUCAGGUCAGGAAUUGUAUUUUAAUUCUGCUUCUUAGUUUACUUUCAUAUAUUUUCUAAAGCAUUUGAUUUCCCAUCUUUGUUUUUGUGGAUUAAUACUUGAUCUCAGAAUCCCACUAAUUUUUAACUUUUUGUUUUUUUUUUAGGGAAACCUCUAUAAUCCUUCUAAUUCUGAACUUGAGUUCAUUCCUCUUGGUGGACACUAUGUCAUCGCCACUGCAUUAGGCACACUUGAUGGAUUCCUCGCCUUGGAGUGUCAAGAUACACUACUAGAAAACAAAUAUUUUGUUAGAAUUUUCCAACAACUUAAAAGUUAUUGCUUCUAUCCAACAAUAUAUAAUAUUUGUUGGAAAAUUCCAAUAAUAUUCAUACAAAUUAUACAACGUAAUUACUACAACUAAAAUUUGUAAUGAAUUUCCAACGAUAUAAUAUUUCUUGGAGAUUUUCAACGACUUUCCUACAAAGUAUGCAAUGUAAUUGUCACAAUUAUAAUUUGUUGCAAAUUUGCACUGAAUUUCCAACAAUAUAGUAUUUGUUGGAAAAUUUCCACAAUUUUUCUAUAAAUUAUGUGAUGUACUUGCCACAACUUAAAUUUGUUGGAAAUUUACAAUAGAUUUAUAACAAAUAUAAUACUAAACGUAAUUUUAUGGGAUAUUCAUUGGAAAUUUCCAACAAAAUUCGAUUGUUAGAAACAUUUGUUGGAAUAUGCCAUGUUUUCUAGUAGUGAUAUCAUUAGGAUCGAGUUAGAGAAAGUAAAAGAUGACAAAAAGAGAGUUUGACAUCAAUGUUUGGACUGUUUAAAAUAGAUAAACAAAAAAGAAAAGUUCACCCAAAUUGACAUUAAUUGAAUGGAUCUCUCGAUCUUAAAAUUUAAUUACACUCUUAACUUUUUUGCUUUGGUAAAAUGUAAAAAAUCUUCAUAGAUUUUUGAUUUUGUACAAAAACGGAAAUAAAAUAAAGAGAAACAUAAAACCAAAAACUAUUCAACAAACAACAGUACCGUAGAAGGCCAUAAAAGAUGAAAUUAAGGAAAGGAGCUAAAAAGUUUGAUUGAAGAAGACACGAGAAAACCGUUGAUGUUACCACGAGUGAACCGCGAUCCAAACCUAGCCUUUAAAAUGUCAUUUGGAUCGAGUUAGAGAUGGUAAAAGAUGUCAAAAAGAGAGUUUGAAAUCUUUUUUUGGACUGUUUAAAAUAGAGAAACAAAACAAAACAUUUCACCCAAACUGAUAUUAAUUGAAUAGAUAUCUCGAUCUUAAAAUUGAAUUACACUCUUAGCUUUUUUUUUGUUAUGGUAAAAUGUAAAAAUUUAUACUAGAUUUUAGAUUUUUUACGAAAACAAAAUAAAACAAAGAGAAACAUAAAACUAAAAACUAAGCACCAAACAACAGUACUGUGGAAGACCAUAAAAGAUGAAAUUAACGAAAAGAGAUAAAACGUUAUGAUAGAAGAAGACACGAGAAAACCGUCAAUGUUGCCACUAGUGAACCGAGAUCCAAACCCAGCCUUUAACAUAUCAUUAGGAUCGAGUUAGAGAAGGGAAAAGAUGACAAAAAGAGAGUUUAACAUCAAUGUUUGGACUGUUAAAAAUAGAUAAACAAAAAAAGAAAAGUUCACCCAAACUGACAUUAGUUGAAUGGAUCUCUCGAUCUUAAAAUUAAAUUACACUCUUAACGUUUUUGUUUUGGUAAAAUGUAAAAAUUUAUACAAGAUUUUAGAUUUUAUAUAAAAAUGGAAAUAAAACAAAGAGAAACAUAAAACCAAAAAUUAUGCAUAAAUGUAAAAAUUUAUAGAAGAUUUUAGAUUUUAAACAAAAACGGAAAUAAAACAAAGAGAAACAUAAAACCAAAAAUUAUGCAUCAAACAACAGUACUUGUGGAAGACCAUAAAAGAAAGAAUUAACGAAAGGAGCUAGAAAGCUUUAAUGGAAGAAGACACAAGAAAACUGUUGAUGUUACUACGAGUGAACCGCGAUCCGAACCUAGCCUUUAAAAUAUCAUUAGGAUCUAGUUAGAGAAAGUAAAAGAUGACAAAAAGAGAGUUUGAAAUCAUUUUUUGGACUGUUUAAAAUAGAGGAACAAAACAAAACAUUUCACCCAAACUGAUAAUUGAAUGGAUAUAUUGAUCUUAAAAUUGAAUUACAAUCUUAAAUUUUUUUUUUUAUUUUGGUAAAAUAUAAAAAUUAUAUCAUAAAUUUUUUACAAAAAAGGAAAAAAACAAAUAAAACAUAAAACUAAAAAAAAAAAACUAGACAGCAAACAACAGUACUGUAGAAGGCCACAAAAAAUGAAAUUAACGAAAGGAGCUAGAACGUUAUGAUAGAAGAAGACACGAAAAAAACCGUCGAUGUUGCCACAAGUGAACCACGAUCCAAACCAAGCCUUUAACAUAUCAUUAGGAUCGAGUUAGAGAAGGGAAAAUAUGACAAAAGGAGAUUUUGACAUCAAUGUUUGGACUGUUUAAAAUAGAUAAACAAAAAAGAAAAGUUCACCCAAACUGACAUUAAUUGAAUGGAUCUCUCGAUCUUAAAAUUGAAUUACACUCUUAACUUUUUUGUUUUGGUAAAAUGUAAAAAUUUAUACUAGAUUUUAGAUUUUAUACAAAAACGGAAAUAAAACAAAGAGAAACAUAAAACCAAAAACUAUGCAGCAAACAACAGUACUGUGCAAGACCAUAAAAGAUGAACGAAAGGAGCUAGAAAGCUCUGAUGGAAGAAGACACGAGAAAGCUGUUGAUGUUACCACGAGUGAACCGCGAUCCGAACCUAGCCUUUAAAAUAUCAUUAAGAUCUAGUAAGAGAAGGUAAAAGAUGACAAAAAGAGAGUUUGAAAUCUUUUUUUGGACUGUUUAAAAUAGAGAAACAAAACAAAACAUUUCACCCAAACUGAUAAUUGAAUGGAUAUCUCGAUCUUAAAAUUGAAUUACAAUCUUAACGUUUUUUUUAUUUUGGUAAAAUGUAAAAAAUUAUAUCAUAGAUUUUUUACAAAAACGAAAUAAAACAAAGAAAAACAUAAAACUAAAAAAAAACUAGGCAACAAACAACAGUACUUCAGAAGGCCACAAAAGAUGAAAUUAAUGAAAGGAGUUAGAACGUUACGAUUGAAGACGACACGAGAAAACCGUCGAUAUUGCCACGAGUGAACCGCGAUCCAAACCCAGCCUUUAACAUAUCAUUAGGAUCGAGUUAGAGAAGGUAAAAGAUGAUAAAAAGAGAGUUUGACAUCAAUGUUUGUACUGUUUAAAAUAGAUAAACAAGAAAGAAAAGUUCACCCAAACUGACAUUUAUUGAAAUGAUCUCUCGAUCUUAAAAUUGAAUUACACUUUUAACUUUUUUGUUUUGGUAAAAUCUAAAAAUUUAUACUAGCUUUAAGAUUUUAUACAAAAAUGGAAAAAUGAAAAAAUAAAAAGAUAAAACCAAAAGCAAAUAAUAGUACUGUGGAAGACCAUAAAAGAUGAAAUUAAUGAAAGGAGCUAGAAAGCUCUAACAGAAGAAGACACGAGAAAACCGGUUAUGUUACCACAAGUGAACCGCGAUCUGAACCUAGCCUUUAAAUAUCAUUAGGAUCGAGUUAGAGAAGGUAAAAGAUGACAAAAAGAGAGUUUAAAAUAUUUUUUUGGACUUUUAAAAUAGAGAAACAAAACAAAAUAUUUCACCUAAACUGAUAUUGAAUGAAUGGAUAUCUCGAUCUUAAAAUUGAAUUACACUCUUAGAAUUUUUUUGGUUAUGGUAAAAUGUAAAAAUUUAUACUAGAUUUUAGAUUUUUUGCAAAAACGAAAUUAAACAAAGAUAAACAUAAAACUAAAAACUAAGCAGCAAACAACAAUAUUGGAGAAGGCCGCAAAAGAUGAAAUUAACCAAAGGAGCUAGAACGUUCUGACGGAAGAAGACACAAGAAAACCGUCGAUGUUGCCACAAGUGAACUGCGAUCCGAACCUAGCCUUUAACAUAUCAUUAGGAUCGAGUUAGAAAAGGUAAAAGAUUACAAAAAGAGAGUUUGAAAUCAAUGUUUGGACUGUUUAAAAUAGAUAAACAAAACAAAAGAGUUCACCCAAACUGACAUUAAUUGAAUAAAUCUCUCGAUCUCAAAAUGAAUUAGACUCUUAACUUUUAUUUUGUUUUGGUAAAAUGUAAAAAUUUAUACUAGAUUUUAGAUUCUUUACAAACACGGAAAGAAAACAAAGAAAAACAUAAAACUAAAAGCUAUGCAGCAAACGACUGUACUGGAGAAAACCACAAAAGAUUAAAUUAACCAAAGGAGCUAGAACGUUCUGAUGGAAGAAGACACGAGGAAACCGUCGAUGUUGCCACGAGUGAACUGCGAUCUGAAACCGUCGAUGUUGCCAUGAGUGAACCGUGAUUCGAGUCCAACCUUUAAAAUGUCAUUAUGAUCGAGUUAGAGAAGGUAAUAGAUGACAAAAAAGAGAGUUUGAAAUCAAUAUUUAGAUUGUUUAAAAUAGAUAAACAAAACAAAAAAAAAAGUUCACCCAAACUAAUAUUUAUUGAAUGGUAGCUCGAUCUUAAAAUUGAAUUACACUCUUAACUUUUUUUUGUUUUAGUAAAAUGUAAAAAUUUAUACUAGAUUUUAGAUUUCUUACAAACACGGAAAUAAAACAAAGAGAAACGUAAAACUAAAAGCUAUGCAGCAAACAACAGUAUUGGAGAAGGCCUUAAAAGAUGAAAUUAACCAAAGAAGGUAUAACGUUUGUAACGAAAGAAGACACGAGAAAACCGUCGAUGUUGCCACGAGUGAACCGUGAUUCGAGCCCAACCUUUAAAAUGUCAUUAUGAUCAUUUAGAGAAGGUAAUAGAUGAUUAAAAAAAAAAAGAGAGUUUGAAAUCAAUAUUUAGAUUGUUUAAAAUAGAUAAACAAAACAAAAAAAAAAAAGAAAUUCACCCAAACUAAUAUUUAUUGAAUGGAUAGCUCGAUCUUAAAAUUGAAUUACACUCUUC